Arachis ipaensis is the source of this 1340-nucleotide non-coding RNA. NCBI's taxonomy places the organism in Eukaryota, Viridiplantae, Streptophyta, Magnoliopsida, Fabales, Fabaceae. The record is from RefSeq and is a predicted model, not a curated record.
AUUAUUCCAUAAUAUAUGGUCAGAAUUACUCAAAAAAAUUUCAUAUAAUACACUAUUACAGCUUCUUUUACUACUAAAGGGUACUCGUGCAGCCCACCAAAACUGGUUCCAAUGAAACAUUGAAAGAUAUACACACAAUAAAUCUAUAAAACCUGCUAUUGGACUCCAAUGCCAACUGAUGAAUUGAAAUUGUAAAAGUAGCUGGAUGAUCAUCAGUUGGAAAAAGCAAACCCCAUUAGUUCAUUCUUUUUCCCCUUGAUGAAUAUGAUCUUUGAAUCAGUAAUUCCCAACUAACUAAAUUUGAGUAAUGAUUUUCAUACAUCCUCUUUUUGGUACUUGAGAAAUCAUGUAUCAGUAACUGAAGAUUUAGGUCAUGUUGCAUCAUUACUAGUCAAUCAACUUUCCCAAUGAGAAUCAUGUGUUGAUAAGUGAUAACUUGAAAUUUCAGUUACUCUACUGGUGGUUCAUAUUGUCAUGUCAUGGGGAUUCGACUAUAUUUUUAUGGUGGUUCAUAUUGUAACUAACAAAAUAUGUAAAAUCCUUUUUAGAAAUUUGUAAGUAAUACAACGAAAAAUCCUUGGUAAUACACAUGAUUCAAGUAAAUUCGCUGACAACUUAAAUCCCCAUUAUUGAUACAGAGAUCCAUUGGUACCAAAAUUAUAUUUGUAAAAGGGAUGAAACACUAGCAAACUAAGUUAAGCACUUAAGCCCCAAAUGAGGAUAAUCUGCAUAAAAAUGAGGAAUAGACACGAAAUGAUCCAUUUAAUAUACAGUGAAAACAGAAUCUGCACACUCUGCAAUUCUGUUAGACCACCAAAAGGACACCGAGACUACAUUCUGAUGAUAAUAAUAAAAAGGGCAGGACAGGGGUUAGAUUAUGGGUCAUGACAGAAAGGACGCGUCAACCCAUGCCUGUGACAUGUGAAGAGAGGAAUAUAUGAAAAAUUCUGUGUAAUUCUCGAUUAGAAGAACAUAAAUGAGUCCAUUCAUCAAUUUAAUCAUUGCCUCCUGGGACAGUUGGGACUACAUCACAUAUUAAAUAAUCAGGAAAGGUGGCAGAUCAAUGUAAAGAACACAGUUUCAAUUAUAUUCCAAACUCCUUUGAGCAUCCCAGCAUGCACAACUAUUAAUCAGCAUUGAAGUAGGUGCUAUGCAUUUAAGCAAUGAAUAAUAACUCAUCUAUCUAAACAAACACCAUCCAUGACUAGUAUUAGUAUUUAUGGCUCUCCUAAAGUCAAGGAGAUCACCAAAAAGCUAACUUCAGAAUAAUUCAUGAGUAUAAAUGCAACCACCAACAAAAAUAAUAGAUAAAUUUGAUUUCUUUUUCCUAUUCAACAUAA